RNAcentral lists this long non-coding RNA (264 nucleotides) under Prunus dulcis (almond). RNAcentral's name for it is "sRNA ncRNA". Lineage: Eukaryota; Viridiplantae; Streptophyta; Magnoliopsida; Rosales; Rosaceae. The record is from RNAcentral.
AUGGUGUCCUCCACACAUUCCUUCCAGCUAUGUCCCGACCCAAGGUCUCAACCACUAGCCACUGCUCCUCGGCUCCAUGGACGAGGAUGUUUCAAAAGUGCUCUUUGAACGUGCGUCUUGGACUAUGGUAGUGCCUUUUGUGUGGGUGGUUUGUCCACCACCGUUCUCCGUUCUAAGCAUUUGCAUGUCGGGUUACUGGUUACCCAUCUCUGGCAGUUGUGGAUCUGCAACGGCGGAGCGGCAAGUGGGAAGUGGCAGCUGUAG